Molecule: transfer RNA, 74 nt
Filed under: Bacteriophage sp.
Description: tRNA-Asn
Rfam family: tRNA
About the family: Transfer RNA (tRNA) molecules are approximately 80 nucleotides in length. Their secondary structure includes four short double-helical elements and three loops (D, anti-codon, and T loops).
Source: RNAcentral
UGUCUAGUCGUAUAAUUAGGUAGUACUUAGGACUGUUAAUCCGAAAGGUGCAGGUUCGAUCCCUGCCUAGACAG